This 454-nucleotide ribosomal RNA is filed under the name uncultured bacterium. Its description in RNAcentral is "SSU rRNA". It matches the Rfam family "Bacterial small subunit ribosomal RNA", at positions 26 to 518 of the family's 1533-position model. The record is from RNAcentral.
AGAACGAACGCUGGCGGCAUGCCUAACACAUGCAAGUCGAACGAAUCUUCAGCUUCGGUUGGAGGUUAGUGGCGCACGGGUGCGUAACGCGUGGGAAUCUGCCCUUAGGUACGGAAUAACUCAGGGAAACUUGUGCUAAUACCGUAUGAUGUCGAGAGACCAAAGAUUCAUCGCCUAAGGAUGAGCCCGCGUUGGAUUAGCUAGUUGGUGGGGUAAAAGCCUACCAAGGCUACGAUCCAUAGCUGGUCUGAGAGGAUGAUCAGCCACACUGGGACUGAGACACGGCCCAGACUCCUACGGGAGGCAGCAGUGGGGAAUAUUGGACAAUGGGCGAAAGCCUGAUCCAGCAAUGCCGCGUGAGUGAAGAAGGCCUUCGGGUUGUAAAGCUCUUUACCCGGAUGAUAAUGACAGUACCGGGAGAAUAAGCUCCGGCUAACUCCGUGCCAGCAGCCGC